UUAACUCAAAUUUGUAUGGAGCUAGAACGGUUGCCUACGUGUGCGGGGCGCUGUUCCAACUAUAUACAAACUUGCGUUA
Non-coding RNA from Bombyx mori (domestic silkworm), 79 nucleotides. NCBI's taxonomy places the organism in Eukaryota, Metazoa, Arthropoda, Insecta, Lepidoptera, Bombycidae. The record is from Rfam.